CAAAAAGUAGUUUAUAUAAGAAUUCAAGCUUUGGGAGCUUGAGGUGUGAGUUUCAUCUUUUUGA
Molecule: transfer RNA, 64 nt
Filed under: Leptodora kindtii
Lineage: Eukaryota; Metazoa; Arthropoda; Branchiopoda; Diplostraca; Leptodoridae
Description: tRNA-Pro
Source: RNAcentral